GUAUGUGGUUUAAUUCGAUGCAACGCGAAGAACCUUACCUGGUCUUGACAUCCCGGAGACCCUUAGGAAACUAGGGGUGCUUCCAUCUGGAAGAAUCUGGAGACAGGUGCUGCAUGGCUGUCGUCAGCUCGUGUCGUGAGAUGUUGGGUUAAGUCCCGCAACGAGCGCAACCCUUGCCUUUAGUUGCCAGCAGUUCGGCUGGGCACUCUAAAGGGACUGCCGGUGUUAAACCGGAGGAAGGUGGGGAUGACGUCAAGUCCUCAUGGCCUUUAUGACCAGGGCUACACACGUACUACAAUGGCCGAUACAAAGGGCAGCGACACUGCGAGGUGAAGCCAAUCCCGUAAAAUCGGUCUCAGUCCGGAUUGGAGUCUGCAACUCGACUCCAUGAAGUUGGAAUCGCUAGUAAUCGUGGAUCAGCAUGCCACGGUGAAUACGUUCCCGGGCCUU
This 450-nucleotide ribosomal RNA is filed under the name uncultured Desulfobulbus sp. Its description in RNAcentral is "bacterial SSU rRNA". It matches the Rfam family "Bacterial small subunit ribosomal RNA", at positions 937 to 1382 of the family's 1533-position model. The record is from RNAcentral. Lineage: Bacteria; Pseudomonadati; Thermodesulfobacteriota; Desulfobulbia; Desulfobulbales; Desulfobulbaceae.